RNAcentral lists this ribosomal RNA (468 nucleotides) under uncultured bacterium. RNAcentral describes it as "partial 16S ribosomal RNA". It matches the Rfam family "Bacterial small subunit ribosomal RNA", at positions 28 to 507 of the family's 1533-position model. The record is from RNAcentral.
GACGAACGCUGGCGGCGUGCUUAACACAUGCAAGUCGAACGGAAAGGCCCUGCUUUCGUGGGGUGCUCGAGUGGCGAACGGGUGAGUAACACGUGAGUAACCUGCCCUUGACUUUGGUAUAACUUCAGGAAACUGGGGCUAAUACCGGAUAGGCGCUCCUGCUGCAUGGUGGUGGUUGGAUAGUUUCGGCGGUUGGGGACGGACUCGCGGCUUACUAGCUUGUGGGUGGGGUAGUGGCUUACCAAGGCUUUGACGGGUAGCCGGCCUGAGAGGGUGACCGGCCACAUUGGGACUGAGAUACGGCCCAGACUCCUACGGGAGGCAGCAGUGGGGAAUAUUGCACAAUGGGCGGAAGCCUGAUGCAGCAACGCCGCGUGCGGGAUGACGGCCUUCGGGUUGUAAACCGCUUUCGCCUGUGACGAAGCGUGAGUGACGGUAAUGGGUAAAGAAGCACCGGCUAACUACGUG